Molecule: non-coding RNA, 24 nt
Filed under: Cricetulus griseus (Chinese hamster)
Lineage: Eukaryota; Metazoa; Chordata; Mammalia; Rodentia; Cricetidae
Source: RNAcentral
GUAUUAGAGGCAAUGCCUGCCCAG